UCGAGAAUCUUCGGCAAUGGGCGCAAGCCUGACCGAGCGACGCCGCGUGGAGGACGAAGGCCUUCGGGUUGUAAACUCCUGUCGAGGGGGAGGAAGGUCGGGCAACCGGCUUGACCGAUCCCUGGAGGAAGCACGGGCUAAGUUCGUGCCAGCAGCCGCGGUAAGACGAACCGUGCGAACGUUAUUCGGAAUCACUGGGCUUAAAGGGCGCGUAGACGGGUCGGCGCAUCGGACGCUGAAAUCCCCCGGCUUAACCGGGGAACGGGCGCCGAGAUGGCCGGCCUCGAGUGGAGGAGGGGGACCUGGAACUGCCGGUGGAGCGGUGAAAUGCGUUGAGAUCGGCAGGAACGCCGACGGCGAAAGCAGGGUCCUGGACUCCCACUGACGUUGAGGCGCGAAAGCCAGGGGAGCGAACGGGAUUAGAUACCCCCGUAGUCC
This 438-nucleotide ribosomal RNA is filed under the name uncultured bacterium. RNAcentral's name for it is "bacterial SSU rRNA". It matches the Rfam family "Bacterial small subunit ribosomal RNA", at positions 355 to 796 of the family's 1533-position model. The record is from RNAcentral.